RNAcentral lists this unclassified non-coding RNA (599 nucleotides) under Claopodium crispifolium. RNAcentral describes it as "sequence contains ITS1, 5.8S rRNA gene, ITS2". The stretch from base 192 to 344 matches the Rfam family "5.8S ribosomal RNA". Lineage: Eukaryota; Viridiplantae; Streptophyta; Bryopsida; Hypnales; Leskeaceae. The record is from RNAcentral.
CUUCGUCACGAGCUUCGUGGCGUCGGGUUUCCACGAUGCAUCACCUUGACCGAAUGACUGAGUCCCGAACACUUGGAUAUGGGAGUGGUGGGUUCCGUCCCCUUAAGCGAGUGGGCUCUGAAGUGGCUGGCUUGCGAAGGGGGUCGGCGCGCGCUGGUUCCCGUACGACGAGUUGAAACAUAACCAAAAACAACUCUCAGCAACGGAUAUCUUGGCUCUUGCAACGAUGAAGAACGCAGCGAAAUGCGAUACGUAGUGUGAAUUGCAGAAUUCCGCGAAUCAUCGAGUCUUUGAACGCAAGUUGCGCCCGAGGCUUGUCCAAGGGCAUUUCCGCUAGAGCGUCACCGCGCCCCCCACCGAUCCACUCGCGCCGCGAGGCGAGAGUCGGGUCGAGUGAAAGUGGCCGUCCCGGUGGGCCUUCGCAAGAAGGCCUUUAAGGGUUGGCUGAAAUGGAGGGAAUUGGGCCGCCGUGGUGACACAGUCCGCGAUCGGGUGAUUUUUUUGGCUGUCCCUCCUUCGGGAGGGUCGCCGUGAAUUUUUCUAAGUGCGUGGCUGCGUCCCCCAGUUGGUUUCGGUUACCUCAUGCAGGUCUUGCGCGC